RNAcentral lists this ribosomal RNA (484 nucleotides) under uncultured bacterium. RNAcentral describes it as "partial 16S ribosomal RNA". The stretch from base 53 to 484 matches the Rfam family "Bacterial small subunit ribosomal RNA", at positions 39 to 507 of the family's 1533-position model. The record is from RNAcentral.
GGGGGGGGGGGGGGGGGGGGGGGGGGGGGGGGGGGCGGGGGGGGGGGGGGGGGUGGGGGGGGGGGUGGGCGGCGGAGGGGGGAGUGAUGCGUAGGAAUCGGCCGGGGGGUGGGGGGUACCGGCCGGGAGCGGGCGCUGAUACCGCAGACGGCCUGAGGGAGACAGUGGGGGAUCUUCGGACCUCACGCUAUCAGAUGAGCCUAGGUCGGAUGAGCUAGUUGGUGGGGUAAAGGCCUACUAAGGCGACGAUCCGUAACUGGUCUGAGAGGAUGAUCAGUCACACUGGAACUGAGACACGGUCCAGACUCCUACGGGAGGCAGCAGUGGGGAAUAUUGGACAAUGGGCGAAAGCCUGAUCCAGCCAUGCCGCGUGUGUGAAGAAGGUCUUCGGAUUGUAAAGCACUUUAAGUUGGGAGGAAGGGCAGUAAGUUAAUACCUUGCUGUUUUGACGUUACCAACAGAAUAAGCACCGGCUAACUUCGUG